CCACCUCUCGCCUCCGCCGCCCCCCCUCUCCACCGCCGCCCGCCUCAGACCGCUCUCCCCUCUCAGACCCAUCCUCCCUCCUCUCCUCUCCGCCCAAUGUUCGAGCAGCCGCCCUGAUUAAGCGCGCCCGCAAAGGCCGGGCGCCCGCGGAUUGGCACCGCAGCACCCUGCUCGCCGCUCUCACGCCUACGCAACGUUGCAGCCUCUCAGCCGCAGAGGGUCCAAGAUGGGUCUCUUCGCGUAUGAGCAGGCUCUAACAUGACGGCCACGGUCAUGGACAGGUACCACCAGCGCUCUCAGAGAGGGUUUGAAGCCAAAUUUACUUAUCUAUAGCGCCGUGAUCAAUGCAUUGUGCAAGGAUGGUAAUGUUAGGGAUGCAGAGUCAAUCAUGAACGAGAUGUCUGAGUCUAGGAUGUUAGGAUGAAGCCCGACACAUUCCACCUACACGUCAAUUGUUCUUGGGAUUUCCAAUCCAAUGGAUAAAGAGGGGUGUGUGCCAAACGCCGUGACAUACUCAACCCUAAUCAAUAAGCUGUGCAGUAGUGUGAAGGUGAAUGAGGAAUUGGGUUUGAUUGGCAAAAUACACAGUGUGACAUGGGGCUGCAUUCAAGAUGCCUGGAAGCUGUUUCUUGAUAUGAAAAAGAAGGGAUGCAGACCAACUGUGUAUACGUGCACAUCACUUAUAGGUGGGCACUUAUUCUGUCAAAAAAUCACUUAUAGGAGGGCAGUGUGUGUCAAGGAUGGCCAUUGGACUAUUUCAUAGGAUGGCAAGAGAUGGUUUGCUCCCUAAUACAGUGACAUAUAAUGGUUCGAUGAAUGUUCUGGUGGACUGGGGGAGGGUAAAAAAUGGAUUCUGCACUUAUUGUUUGUAAUGUGAUGCAGGGACAUGGUUAUUUACCUGACACCGUGACUGACAUACAAUGUACUGAUCAAGGGCUAUUGCGCAAUUGGUAAUACCGAUAAGGCAAUAUCCAUGCUGAUCAAUAUGUUGGAGGGCAGAGCUAGAGCUACACUUGUAAUAAUUAUAGGCUUGCAAAAUAAAUACCUCAUGGUGGACCAGAAACUUAUAGCCUUUCCUGAUGCAGUCUCGGACCGCAACUUUGAUGACCAAAUAACCAAUAGUGUCGAAAAUGAUCUUAUAUUUUUGGACGGAGGGAGUAACAAAGAUGACAUUUCAGUCUUGUGUUCUUAAUUAGCAGAACUGGAUCUUGGACUAUCUCAACAGUUGUAUGAUGCAUUGUUGUCUGGAUUAAGCAGAAGUCAGAGAUGGUUUAAGGCAGAGAAGCUGUACAGACGCAUGGUUGGUUAGGGUUUAUGCCCAAACCAGGAGGCAUGUAAUUAUUUUGUUAUUUCACUUUUGAGAGCCCUGAAAGUUGACCGACUAUGGAUGUAUUCAGAAAUAUGUCUUCUCAGUGUCGUGAGCUCCACCUUGUUGGUUAUAAAGAACUAAUAUGUGCUUUAUGCCAACUUCAUAGAAGAAAUUAAGCCCAAUUUGUAUUUGAAGACAUGCUAUCGAGGAAUUUUAGUUCUGAUAACAUUGUAUGGACUGUUCUCAUCAAUGGACUGAUUGGGGCCGGAUACAAAGACUUGUGCGUGGAGUUUCUGCACAUUAUGGAAAAAAAUCAUCAUAAGCGUAGCUUCUGUAUGUGCACAAUUGUAGCAAGGGAAGCAUUGAAAGAGUAGCCAUAGAAUCAGCUGGACUUGAUGCACUGCAGCAAUUUGGGAUUUUCUUGUGAUGCCUCAUGUGCCAGAGCUGUUAAUCUGGAGUGAGUUAGAUGGCUAGAGGGACCUUUUCAUUGUUUUGCUACUUGGUCUUCCUUGAUCCUUGUUAUCUAUUCCCAAGGCUUCCGCAUUGUGGUUCCAGUGAGAUCAAAGAAUGCCUAUGUGCAGCAAGUUUCAUAUCCAGUUUAGCUGUUACACGCUGAACAUUCCCAUCAUUUUGCACUCUACACUGAAUCACUGAUUACCAACCUCUAUUUCAAACCUCAGGAUUCCUAGGGAUUGUCAGAAAUGGGAGCCAGAGUUGGAAGACCCAAAAGAUCAAUUCCGUGAAUACUUCCCGAUUGGCCCUUUAAUUGGAAAGUGGUGCAAGAUGCAUCAGGUGAUAUACCUCUUACACUGUCCGCAUUUUGCAUAGGCAUAAAAAAAAGCUGUUUUCCCUGCAAUAAACUGAGACUGAAAACAUAUGCACAGUGUAAAGCUGUUACCAAUUUCCUGGACUCUAUUUGGACAAGUCCCUUGUGAGUUGCGAGCAUGGUUGCCUUGCUCGCUGCUCGUGGGCAUGGGAAAUCAGCCACCUUUGGUCUUGCUAUUGCUAGAGCCAUCGCAGGUGGGUAAGCUCAACCAGAUGAGCCUCCCCAUAUGAGCAUGCCUUGUUGGGAUUUAGCUUCUACUUAGGCCAAAGGGGCGGACCACGGUGCUCCUAUGCAAGCCAACACAAUGGAAAGCAGCACGCAGGCCCUCCGAACUGGGUCACAUAAAUGUAUGAGUGCAGCAGGCACAACAUGUCAACAACUUGGGGCCUCCUUGGGCUUUAACGACGGUCACCCCCAACCGUGUCACGUUCAUCGGUCUUAGGACCGGUUCCAAUCCUAGCACAUGACAAUCUGAUACUCUAUAUUUUGGUUCAGAAAACAAUUUUUCUCUGUGUUUUUGAACUUGUAGAAUUCUUCCUAUUGCAUGCUUAGAAGCUCCAGCCGUUUACUGGGGGCAUCAAUAUCUGCCAUUUCUAGCUACUGAUUAGUUAAGCAGGCAGGAACAACAAAUUGCGAUGCCAGGUCACCUCAAGUUGAACUUGCACAGGAUGGUGAACAGAUGCAUGAUCACUGCCAUUCCAUUUAGUGGACUGACCUGCCCAAACUGAUUUCAUGGACGCCAAUUGGUUCAGAAACCGCUAUGCUGCUCGCCGUUACCAGCAUGUACCAAUACUUGAGUCUGAGAAAGAAAGAGCAACCAAACCUGUUUUGGGCUUUCAUGCAUGGUUGCAAUUUUUGGAGCUCAAAGUCA
Long non-coding RNA from Aegilops tauschii subsp. strangulata, 3006 nucleotides. RefSeq lists it as uncharacterized. Lineage: Eukaryota; Viridiplantae; Streptophyta; Magnoliopsida; Poales; Poaceae. The record is from RefSeq and is a predicted model, not a curated record.